GACGAACGCUGGCGGCGUGCUUAACACAUGCAAGUCGAACGAGAAUCUUAUCAGUGGAAACUUCGGUGGAAACAGAUAGGAGGAAAGUGGCGAACGGGUGAGUAACGCGUGAGCAACCUGCCUUACACAAAGGGAUAGCCUCGGGAAACCGGGAUUAAUACCGUAUGAGACCCCGUUGGCGAGUGCCAAAGAGGUUAAAGAUUUAUCGGUGUAAGAUGGGCUCGCGUCUGAUUAGCUAGUUGGUGGGAUAAAAGCCUACCAAGGCGACGAUCAGUAACCGGCUUGAGAGAGUGAACGGUCACAUUGGAACUGAGACACGGUCCAAACUCCUACGGGAGGCAGCAGUGGGGAAUAUUGCACAAUGGGGGAAACCCUGAUGCAGCGACGCCGCGUGAGCGAAGAAGGUUUUCGAAUCGUAAAGCUCUGUCCUUGGAGAAGAUAAUGACGGUAACCAAGGAGGAAGCACCGGCUAAAUACGUG
RNAcentral lists this ribosomal RNA (480 nucleotides) under uncultured bacterium. Its description in RNAcentral is "bacterial SSU rRNA". It matches the Rfam family "Bacterial small subunit ribosomal RNA", at positions 28 to 507 of the family's 1533-position model. The record is from RNAcentral.